GCCAUUUCCUUCACAGCGUGGCACAGUUAACAAGUCAGUGCACCAACACAAUCUACAGAUGGCAGUUCAAAAGGUGCGGGUCCCCCCAGCAAGAUAAAGGGCAGGCAGUUCCAGGGGGAUGCUCAUUACGGGAAUGCAGCCGGGGGCUCCGGAGGGGUGUGAGCGCCGAACUGGGCUGCGGAUGGGGGGCGGGCUCCGGGAGGGGGUGCGUCAGUCCAACUCGGAAAAGGCAUGCGUGUCUUCGCAAAUCAAGUCAGUGUUGGGAGAGAGAUGUUAUUGAAGUAAAGUGCAAACAGCUUGCAGAGAAAGGAUACAUUCAGCCUGGGCUGCGUCCUUCCCGAUUCGGGAGAGGAGUGAGGGUGGUGACAGGGUACAGCACUUACCUUGUUCCAUUUAUCUGCAACUCUGGCAAGUAUAAGGCAAUUUCCUGAGCAAAGCCUCCAACAUCAAAAGCCGUGGGGGGAGCUCCCGGCGAAGGCACUGGGAAAGCGCCCUGAUCCGCAGAGGGCCCCGGCCGCCUUCUAGAUAGAGGCCUGCGCUCCUCGGCAAAUUACAUUAGUGCUAAUGUCCAGCGAAGAAUCUAUGAGACAUAUUGGGCCUUUAGACUUCAAAACAAGCUUAAAUUGGAACCACAUUGCGGGAAUACUUCUUAGCUAACAUUUAUAUUACUUCAGUUACCAAAUCCAGACUAAGUCCCCGGACUCGGCAGGGGAGGACAUAAUAUAUUAGGAAGUGAGAGGAGGGUGUUCUCUUCUGGUCUCCUUUUAUGAAAAUGUACAAAAACUUUCCUCGAACUAGCGAGAAAGUGACUACAAGGCCUUAAAAUGUGGCUGUCCGGCGGCAGCCGGGGGGCCACUCCCUGCCCAGGCCGGCCCCAUUUGCGAGUCGGCCGCGCCUUGGGGGACAGUUGCAGAGCCUGGAGUCAGGCUGCGGGGAGCAAGGGUCAGGUGUCAGGCAGGCAGUUACACACCUAAAGCGAGAUUCCGCGGGGUGCAGCGAGCUGUCAGAGGAUGAGAUCUCCGGAGACCCAAUCAGCCUCGCCUACACCGAUCUUUGCAAAGGGAGAAUCUUGCUGGGAAUCUCGCUUCUAGCCAAUGAGGAAUUUUCAGAAAAGCGAAAUGGAAUGCAUCAUUUUGACAUCUCUGCAGAUCUGUAUUCCGAAAGGUACUCAGAUAUCCACGAAGUCCUCCUCAUCUCACACCAUCGUUUCUCUCACUGGGCACAAUCCAGCUUUAAAGAAUUCAACACUUACUGGUCUUCAGAGGACUGUCAGCAAUGA
RNAcentral lists this long non-coding RNA (1279 nucleotides) under Pan paniscus (pygmy chimpanzee). Its description in RNAcentral is "lncRNA (ENSPPAG00000044660.1)". The record is from RNAcentral. Lineage: Eukaryota; Metazoa; Chordata; Mammalia; Primates; Hominidae.